RNAcentral lists this unclassified non-coding RNA (612 nucleotides) under Hevea brasiliensis (rubber tree). Lineage: Eukaryota; Viridiplantae; Streptophyta; Magnoliopsida; Malpighiales; Euphorbiaceae. The record is from RNAcentral.
UAGGAAUCUUGCUUCUCAACAAAUAUUUUCUUGUACAGAAUUUUUAUUCAAUAUCAGUCUUAUACAUAUAUUCAAGGGAAGCAAAAAAAGACUUCUCCUUCAUUUCCCACUAAAAAAUGAACGUAGAAUACUAGCAACAAGAGGAAGACCCAAUAGUACUUUAGAGAGGCUGGGAGGUUCCAAUCUGGUGCAUGGUGUUGCUUGUUGGAAGCUGAUUUGAAGCAUCAGCUAGAGCUACAGCUGCAGCUGGGGUCAUGGUUUGGUACUGAGAAGGCAAUGGGGAAGCUUGAAUCUGAUGAGUGUAAUAGACUUGUUCAGGUGUGGCAUUGGCAUAUUCAAAACCAUAAUUAGCAUUAGCACCAGCAGGAACGGCAAUGGAUUGAGAUAGCUGUUGCACUGGAGCAUAACCCACAUAUUGUUGCUGAAAUUGAGUAGCUGGGAUUGGGACAAAUGUGGGUGUUGAGGUCACGGCUGUUCUAUAAACACCUGCAGCCGUUUCGGGCUUAGCUAGGACGGCGCUGGUGCCUGCUGCCUUUGUGGGGUAAAGGGGUGGAUGUGAAAGUGUGUCCUUGUAAACUGCAGAAGCAGCAACUAUGUUAGGAGUUGGAGGUG